AGGGCGAGCGCCGAUUCCGUCUUUCGUCCGGGGUCUCUGCGCGGUCUGCAUUGUGACGGAUCUUUUGCCGGUGAGAUGAGUUGAAGGGCCGUGACCCCCGUGAGGCCGAGAGAGGAGAUGCAAUGAGUUGAGGGCCGUGAACCUUGACCCCGUGGAAAUGAAUGAGCAGGUUCAGACGCUCGGCCGUCCGGAUUGAAGAUAACGUCCGGAUUGAUGCAGCCGCUUGAAGGUUGCUGGCCACUGGGUGGCGCUCGCCGACUGCCCCAGCGACACUGAAGGAGGAGCCGUGUAGUUUGCACCAAGGCUGCCCCGUGUGGCCAAGUGUGGUAUAUGCGUCCAAACGCCCCCGUCACGAUUCACCAAACCGGUUAAAUUUGCAAAUCUUGGGGUUUGAUUCCUCCCCCCCCCACACUUUUUGUCUUUUGCCUCGGUGGCUUCAUCGCUCUGAACCGCAGGGGCUGGCAAUCCCCACCGCUCUCCACCGCGUGCGGUGGCUCUUUUAAGGGGGGCUGGCAUUGGUCAUCACCUCGCCACCGUCUCUUAUUCACCACGUGUGGGUUGCGGCUCUUUAAAAUAUCGAGUUUUGUACCGAAUUGGAGAAGCAAAUGGCGCGUCUUGUUAUUUUCGUUGCCCUGCUCUAAACGUAACGGUAAGUGCUGGCGGCGUUCCAAUCCAGGUGAGGCUAUUAAGAGGAUGUUUGUAAAGUGGUAUAGAGGGGGUCCAGCAUUAGCUGUAGUAGGGCAGCUUUAGGUAGACGAAUGAAGCGGCCACAGGCUGUACAAAUGAGAAAAACACGGCACGCACGAGACGGUGAAAACUAGACGAACAAUAAUCAAACCUUAACAUGGAAUCUUGACCAUACGCCAAAUCGGCCGUGGGUGGGGUGAAUCGUGACGCGCGUGUGCGCACCAUGGGGUAAGUAUUUGGCAUGUGACGCAAGUCUGGGGAUGGAUGUCAUUGUCGGGUGGAUUAGUUUGGUGGUUGGGGUUCGGUAAGUCUCGGCAGUGUUUGAGUGGGGGGGUGGGGGUAUUAGUGUGGUGUAAGGAGUGGGGGUCUGGGGGAGUGGGAACCUAGUUUUUGGGGGGCUCUCUGGUUUAUGAAAUGGUGUGUGAUCAAGUUGAGGGUAUUAGUGGCUGGUGAGUCGAUGCUGUUAGUAGUAAGCCGCCGGGUGCGUGUAGAUGGUAAUCAGGUGAUGGGCGAGUUGCUCGUCGGUGAUAUUGAAGCUGUUGGCGAAUCGUGGGUGCGAUACGAGGUAAGUGUAUGGGAGAGACAUCGGUAGGUGCCCUGUAGUCUGCUGGGUUGGUGACCCCUCCCCCCCCCCCCCCGUUACCCACGUGGUAUUUACCACGUGACAGUCUCCAUCGGUGCGGCGCUCGCGGUCUCCCUGCUGCUGUUGUAACGAGUUACACAAUAAAGCUUCCUGGGACCCCCG
Petromyzon marinus (sea lamprey) is the source of this 1432-nucleotide long non-coding RNA. RefSeq lists it as uncharacterized. Lineage: Eukaryota; Metazoa; Chordata; Hyperoartia; Petromyzontiformes; Petromyzontidae. The record is from RefSeq and is a predicted model, not a curated record.